CCCUUAGACACUCUAGGCGGCACGCGCGCUACAAUGGGUGGAAGAACGUGUUACUGCCUCCGAAAGGAGGGGUGAAUCACGAAUUCUUGCCCGUGAAUGGGAUAGUUUGUUGCAAUUUUCGGACUUGAACUUGGAAUCCCUUGUAAACAUGCUCAAGAAUAGCGUGUUGAAUACGUCCCUGCCGUUUGUACACACCGCCCGUCGUUUCUUCCGACUGAUACUCAUUGUGAGUUGCAAGGACCCUUUAUUGGGAAAUUGCUGCAAAUGCUUUGUAUUGGAGGAAGAAAAAGUCGUAACA
Molecule: ribosomal RNA, 298 nt
Filed under: uncultured eukaryote
Lineage: Eukaryota
Description: partial 18S ribosomal RNA
Rfam family: Eukaryotic small subunit ribosomal RNA
Source: RNAcentral